GCCAGUGUGGUGUAGUGGUUUGAGCAUUGGACUAUGACUCUGGAGACCAGGGUUCAAAUGCCCGCUUGGCCA
Phrynosoma platyrhinos (Desert horned lizard) is the source of this 72-nucleotide non-coding RNA. NCBI's taxonomy places the organism in Eukaryota, Metazoa, Chordata, Lepidosauria, Squamata, Phrynosomatidae. The record is from the annotation of a GenBank genome assembly.